CUUGCUUCUAGUGCAUAGACACCCAUUGUACUAACUAGACGUGACUUUCAUUUCAGUCGCUCCGUAAACCUUGUCAUCUAAAAGGAUGCAGCUUCAAACAUCUUCAUCAACGCUGAUACAGACAACCAUAGAAACUUAGAAUAAUUCAGAAAAUUCUGGACUUUGAGUCCUUCUGGCGAACUAGGUGGGGAUAUACUAGCCUUCUGAGAUAUAUUCAACCUUGGUGGAAACAGAGUGGCACCUUGAAAUUUGCAUUAUGAGCCAUGGAUAUUGAACAACACUCCUUUGGAAAUGGUAGAGAAAGAAUUGAAAGAAUCAUCAAAAACAUAAACCAAGACCAAAGACAAGGGAUAAAGCAAGUAUGCUAUGGCUGAUGUCCAAACUGGGAAGAAGGUGCUCAAACUUGUAAGGCAUCCCAUUAUGCCACAAACCAUAAGCAAAACCAGUAUUUCAGCUGAGAAAUGCCAUGAUAAUCCUCGAAAAUAGAUCAGCGAAAGAAGAACACAGAAGCCUAACACAUUGUUCAUGAAUACCCCACCAUAAAUCUGCAAGAGUAAAGGAAACCCAACAGUUCAAUAUUUACAUGUAGAGACAUACAGGUUUUACUUUUGCAAUUCAUGGGAGGGAGGCAAUUGGACAUACCUCAGAAAAAGUCAAGGAUGUAGUUCUCUGUUUCUUAUGACGGGCUUCUUUGAUGGCUGAGAUGCCAAUUCUGGCAUUUGUAGCCAAAGGGACUAAGAUAAAUGAUAUGUAAAAUGAAGGAACAUUUGCAGCUGCAGAUAAAUUCUGUACACUCUGUAUAAGAGGUUCUGCUAGAAGGCCUAGCAUAGCUAUUCCAAGAGCCAAAAGCAUUAUGGCCUUAGUCCAGGCAAGUGUAGACCCAUCAAGGCGAUUCUCUAGCAGCCUGUCAAUUGUUUUCAAGUUCUUCUGCAAA
Molecule: long non-coding RNA, 934 nt
Organism: Ipomoea triloba (trilobed morning glory)
Lineage: Eukaryota; Viridiplantae; Streptophyta; Magnoliopsida; Solanales; Convolvulaceae
Exons: 3
Source: RefSeq, a predicted model, not a curated record